Molecule: ribosomal RNA, 253 nt
Filed under: uncultured bacterium
Lineage: Bacteria
Description: partial 16S ribosomal RNA
Rfam family: Bacterial small subunit ribosomal RNA
Source: RNAcentral
UACGAAGGGGGCUAGCGUUGCUCGGAAUCAUUGGGCGUAAAGCGCGUGUAGGCGGCCCGGUAAGUCCGCUGUGAAAGUCGGGGGCUCAACCCUCGAAUGCCGGUGGAUACUGUCGGGCUAGAGUGCGGAAGAGGCGAGUGGAAUUCCUGGUGUAGCGGUGAAAUGCGCAGAUAUCAGGAGGAACACCAAUUGCGAAGGCAGCUCGCUGGGACGUUACUGACGCUGAGACGCGAAAGCGUGGGGAGCAAACAGG